UGCAAGUCGAACGAUCACUAUUGGGUAGCAAUAUUCGGUAGUGGGAGUGGCGCAAGGGUGCGUAACACGUGGGUAAUUUGCCGUAAAGUCUGGGAUAACUUGCUGAAAGACGAGCUAAUACCGGAUGUGAUUGCUGGAGGGCAUCCUCUGGCACUUAAAGUCGGGGACCGUAAGGCCUGACACUUUUCGAUAAGCCCGCGGCCUAUCAGCUAGUUGGUGAGGUAACGGCUCACCAAGGCUAAGACGGGUAGCUGGUCUGAGAGGACGACCAGCCUCACUGGAACUGAGACACGGUCCAGACACCUACGGGUGGCAGCAGUCGAGAAUUUUUCUCAAUGGGGGAAACCCUGAAGGAGCGACGCCGCGUGGGGGAUGAAUGGCUUCGGCCCGUAAACCCCUGUCAUUUGCGAUCAAACCUUACGACCUAACACGUCGUGAGCUGAUAGUAGCGGAAGAGGAAGGGACGGCUAACUCUGUGCCAGCAGCCGCGGUAAUACAGAGGUCCCAAGCGUUGUUCGGAUUCACUGGGCGUAAAGGGUGCGUAGGCGGUCGGGUAAGUCUGACGUGAAA
Molecule: ribosomal RNA, 570 nt
Filed under: uncultured bacterium
Lineage: Bacteria
Description: bacterial SSU rRNA
Rfam family: Bacterial small subunit ribosomal RNA
Source: RNAcentral